AUUGAACGCUGGCGGCAGGCCUAACACAUGCAAGUCGAGCGGUAGAGAGGUGCUUGCAUCUCUUGAGAGCGGCGGACGGGUGAGUAAUGCCUAGGAAUCUGCCCUAGUGGUGGGGGAUAACGUUUCGGAAACGGACGCUAAUACCGCAUACGUCCUACGGGAGAAAGCGGGGGAUCUUCGGACCUCGCGCCAUUAGAUGAGCCUAGGUCGGAUUAGCUAGUUGGUGAGGUAAAUGGCUCACCAAGGCGACGAUCCGUAACUGGUCUG
RNAcentral lists this ribosomal RNA (267 nucleotides) under uncultured bacterium. RNAcentral's name for it is "partial 16S ribosomal RNA". It matches the Rfam family "Bacterial small subunit ribosomal RNA", at positions 30 to 294 of the family's 1533-position model. The record is from RNAcentral.